RNAcentral lists this ribosomal RNA (569 nucleotides) under uncultured bacterium. Its description in RNAcentral is "partial 16S ribosomal RNA". It matches the Rfam family "Bacterial small subunit ribosomal RNA", at positions 355 to 1375 of the family's 1533-position model. The record is from RNAcentral.
UGGGGAAUAUUGCACAAUGGGCGAAAGCCUGAUGCAGCGACGCCGCGUGAGGGAUGACGGCCUUCGGGUUGUAAACCUCUUUCAGCAGGGAAGAAGCGAAAGUGACGGUACCUGCAGAAGAAGCGCCGGCUAACUACGUGCCAGCAGCCGCGGUAAUACGUAGGGCGCAAGCGUUGUCCGGAAUUAUUGGGCGUAAAGAGCUCGUAGGCGGUUAGUCGCGUCUGCUGUGAAAACUCGAGGCUCAACCUCGGGCUUGCAGUGGGUACGGGCUGACUAGAGUGCGGUAGGGGUGACUGGAAUUCCUGGUGUAGCGGUGGAAUGCGCAGAUAUCAGGAGGAACACCGAUGGCGAAGGCGAGGUCACUGGGCCGCAACUGACGCUGAGGAGCGAAAGCAUGGGGAGCGAACAGGAUUAGAUACCCUGGUAGUCCAUGCCGUAAACGUUGGGCACUAGGUGUGGGGUCCAUUCCACGGAUUCCGUGCCGCAGCAAACGCAUUAAGUGCCCCGCCUGGGGAGUACGGCCGCAAGGCUAAAACUCAAAUGAAUUGACGGGGUCAUAGCUGUUUCCU